RNAcentral lists this ribosomal RNA (253 nucleotides) under uncultured bacterium. RNAcentral describes it as "partial 16S ribosomal RNA". It matches the Rfam family "Bacterial small subunit ribosomal RNA", at positions 524 to 776 of the family's 1533-position model. The record is from RNAcentral.
UACGUAGGGUGCAAGCGUUGUCCGGAAUUAUUGGGCGUACAGCGCUCGUAGGCGGUCCGUCACGUCGGCUGUGAAAACCCGGGGCUCAACCCCGGGCCUGCAGUCGAUACGGGCGGACUAGAGUUCGGCAGGGGAGGCUGGAAUUCCUGGUGUAGCGGUGAAAUGCGCAGAUAUCAGGAGGAACACCGGUGGUGUAGACGGCCUUCUGGACAAUCACUGACGCUGAGGUACGAAAGCGUGGGUAGCAAACAGG